UACUUCAACUAUAAAAGCACCAA
RNAcentral lists this transfer RNA (23 nucleotides) under Macaca arctoides (stump-tailed macaque). RNAcentral's name for it is "partial tRNA-Glu". RNAcentral also lists the same sequence under 6 other names. Lineage: Eukaryota; Metazoa; Chordata; Mammalia; Primates; Cercopithecidae. The record is from RNAcentral.